CCGGGGGACGGGAGGUAAAGUAGUCUGGGAAACAAGCCGUCGAUGGAGGGGGAGGAUACUGAGACGGUAGCUAAUACCGCAUAACGUCGCAAGACCAAAGAGGGGGACCUUCGGGCCUCUUGCCAUCGGAUGUGCCCAGAUGGGAUUAGCUAGUAGGUGGGGUAACGGCUCACCUAGGCGACGAUCCCUAGCUGGUCUGAGAGGAUGACCAGCCACACUGGAACUGAGACACGGUCCAG
This 239-nucleotide ribosomal RNA is filed under the name uncultured bacterium. RNAcentral's name for it is "partial 16S ribosomal RNA". It matches the Rfam family "Bacterial small subunit ribosomal RNA", at positions 95 to 334 of the family's 1533-position model. The record is from RNAcentral.